UCCACUCCGCUGACCAUCACUGGUGGGUCUGCUAGUAGAUAUCGAUCCUAUCAAGAUGCUCGUCACUCUCAGUAUCUCUCUAUAAUUUAAGAAUAAUUAAUUAAUUUUUUUUAAAUAGCUAGAGAAUUAUAUACUAAUUAAAAAUUACUUACCAUCUGCUCCAUGUGAUGAGCGAAUGACCUUGAAUCCCCAUAAUACGGUACGGUCUGUCU
RNAcentral lists this long non-coding RNA (212 nucleotides) under Elaeis guineensis (African oil palm). Its description in RNAcentral is "long non-coding RNA (EGUI_LNC018702)". Lineage: Eukaryota; Viridiplantae; Streptophyta; Magnoliopsida; Arecales; Arecaceae. The record is from RNAcentral.